CCAACGGCCUUCUUUAAGGCCUCAAAAUACUUAUAAUCCAUAUAUUU
Non-coding RNA from Caenorhabditis brenneri, 47 nucleotides. Lineage: Eukaryota; Metazoa; Nematoda; Chromadorea; Rhabditida; Rhabditidae. The record is from Rfam.